AUGCACGCUGGCGGCUUGCCUCAUCCAUGCAAGUCGAGCGAACAGACGAGGAGCUUGCUCCUCUGACGUUAGCGGCGGACGGGUGAGUAACACGUGGAUAACCUACCUAUAAGACUGGGAUAACUUCGGGAAACCGGAGCUAAUACCGGAUAAUAUAUUGAACCGCAUGGUUCAAUAGUGAAAGACGGUUUUGCUGUCACUUAUAGAUGGAUCCGCGCCGCAUUAGCUAGUUGGUAAGGUAACGGCUUACCAAGGCAACGAUGCGUAGCCGACCUGAGAGGGUGAUCGGCCAGACUGGAACUGAGACACGGUCCAGACUCCUACGGGAGGCAGCAGUAGGGAAUCUUCCGCAAUGGGCGAAAGCCUGACGGAGCAACACCGCGUGAGUGAUGAAGGUCUUCGGAUCGUAAAACUCUGUUAUUAGGGUAGAACAAAUGUGUAAGUAACUAUGCACGUCUUGACGGUACCUAAUGAAAAAGCCACGGCUAACUACGUG
Molecule: ribosomal RNA, 496 nt
Filed under: uncultured bacterium
Lineage: Bacteria
Description: partial 16S ribosomal RNA
Rfam family: Bacterial small subunit ribosomal RNA
Source: RNAcentral